UGGAUCCAGACUUUGAUUCUGGCUCAGGAUGAACGCUAGCUACAGGCUUAACACAUGCAAGUCGAGGGGAAACGAUAUUGGAAGCUUGCUUCCGAUAGGCGUCGACCGGCGCACGGGUGAGUAACGCGUAUCCAACCUGCCCACCACUUGGGGAUAACCUUGCGAAAGUAAGACUAAUACCCAAUGACGUCUCUAGAAGACAUCUGAAAGAGAUUAAAGAUUUAUCGGUGAUGGAUGGGGAUGCGUCUGAUUAGCUUGUUGGCGGGGUAACGGCCCACCAAGGCUACGAUCAGUAGGGGUUCUGAGAGGAAGGUCCCCCACAUUGGAACUGAGACACGGUCCAAACUCCUACGGGAGGCAGCAGUGAGGAAUAUUGGUCAAUGGACGAGAGUCUGAACCAGCCAAGUAGCGUGCAGGAUGACGGCCCUAUGGGUCGUAGACUGCUUUUAUAAGGGAAUAAAGUGAGUCUCGUGAGACUUUUUGCAUGUACCUUAUGAAUAAGGACCGGCUAAUUCCGUGCCAGCAGCCGCGGUAAUACGGAAGGUCCGGGCGUUAUCCGGAUUUAUUGGGUUUAAAGGGAGCGUAGGCCGGAGAUUAAGCGUGUUGUGAAAUGUAGAUGCUCAACAUCUGCACUGCAGCGCGAACUGGUUUCCUUGAGUACGCACAAAGUGGGCGGAAUUCGUGGUGUAGCGGUGAAAUGCUUAGAUAUCACGAAGAACUCCGAUUGCGAAGGCAGCUCACUGGAGCGCAACUGACGCUGAAGCUCGAAAGUGCGGGUAUCGAACAGGAUUAGAUACCCUGGUAGUCCGCACGGUAAACGAUGGAUGCCCGCUGUUGGUCUGAAUAGGUCAGCGGCCAAGCGAAAGCAUUAAGCAUCCCACCUGGGGAGUACGCCGGCAACGGUGCAACUCAAAGGAAUUGACGGA
This 926-nucleotide ribosomal RNA is filed under the name uncultured organism. RNAcentral describes it as "bacterial SSU rRNA". It matches the Rfam family "Bacterial small subunit ribosomal RNA", at positions 1 to 917 of the family's 1533-position model. The record is from RNAcentral.